UACGAAGGGAGCUAGCGUUGUUCGGAAUCACUGGGCGUAAAGCGCGCGUAGGCGGCCCGUUAAGUCGGAUGUGAAAACCCGGGGCUCAACCCCGGGCCUGCAUUCGAUACUGGCGGGCUCGAGGCAGGCAGGGGAGAGCGGAAUUCCUGGUGUAGCGGUGAAAUGCGCAGAUAUCAGGAGGAACACCGGUGGCGAAGGCGGCUCUCUGGGCCUGUCCUGACGCUCAGGCGCGAAAGCUAGGGGAGCAAACGGG
RNAcentral lists this ribosomal RNA (253 nucleotides) under uncultured bacterium. RNAcentral describes it as "partial 16S ribosomal RNA". It matches the Rfam family "Bacterial small subunit ribosomal RNA", at positions 524 to 776 of the family's 1533-position model. The record is from RNAcentral.